AAUUUGAUGUCUUUAUGGAUGCAGUGAGCAGAAAAAUCAGCUUAGAUGCUCUAUUAGAAUUUGCUAUAAAUCAAGGUUCACAAUGGAUAUUUAUUACUCCGCAUGACAUCAGCAUGGUGAAGGCUGGGGACAGAGUCAGAAAGCAGCAGAUGCCAGCUCCUCUUUCCUCGUGAUUUGUGCUCAUCACUUGUUGUUGCAAUGAAGGUAUGAACUGAAUCCUUAAAACGGAUUUAACUUGGCAAGUGAAUUUUCAGAUUAGCACAAAUUGCUAUUUUUAGUGUUUUUCUAGCAAUAUCUCAAGUUUUUGUGUGCAGUUUUGUAACAUGAAUGAAAUGUUUCUGUAUAUAGCUGAAGCUCUCAACUUUUUU
Long non-coding RNA from Dendrobium catenatum, 368 nucleotides. RefSeq lists it as uncharacterized. The transcript is spliced from 3 exons. The record is from RefSeq and is a predicted model, not a curated record. Lineage: Eukaryota; Viridiplantae; Streptophyta; Magnoliopsida; Asparagales; Orchidaceae.